Molecule: ribosomal RNA, 247 nt
Filed under: uncultured Flavobacterium sp.
Lineage: Bacteria; Pseudomonadati; Bacteroidota; Flavobacteriia; Flavobacteriales; Flavobacteriaceae
Description: partial 16S ribosomal RNA
Rfam family: Bacterial small subunit ribosomal RNA
Source: RNAcentral
GGAGGAUCCAAGCGUUAUCCGGAAUCAUUGGGUUUAAAGGGUCCGUAGGCGGCCUUAUAAGUCAGUGGUGAAAUCUCCUAGCUCAACUAGGAAACUGCCAUUGAUACUGUAGGGCUUGAAUUAUUGUGAAGUAACUAGAAUAUGUAGUGUAGCGGUGAAAUGCUUAGAUAUUACAUGGAAUACCAAUUGCGAAGGCAGGUUACUAACAAUAUAUUGACGCUGAUGGACGAAAGCGUGGGUAGCGAAC